RNAcentral lists this ribosomal RNA (506 nucleotides) under uncultured Actinomycetes bacterium. RNAcentral's name for it is "uncultured actinobacterium partial 16S ribosomal RNA". Lineage: Bacteria; Bacillati; Actinomycetota; Actinomycetes. The record is from RNAcentral.
CACGUAGUUGGCCGGUGCUUCUUCUGUAGGUACCGUCAAAUUCGUCCCUACUGAAAGCGGUUUACAACCCGAGAGCCUUCAUCCCGCACGCGGCGUUGCUGCGUCAGGCUUUCGCCCAUUGCGCAAUAUUCCUAACUGCUGCCUCCCGUAGGAGUCUGGGCCGUGUCUCAGUCCCAGUGUGGCUGAUCGUCCUCUCAGACCAGCUACCCGUCGAUGCCUUGGUGAGCCGUUACCUCACCAACAAGCUGAUAGGACGCGAAGCCCUCCCAAAGCGAAAAAACUUUCUCAUCUGACCAUGCGAUCUGAUGGAGGUAUCGAGUAUUAGACCUAGGUUUCCCCGGCUUAUCCUCGUCUUCGGGACUAGGUUCUUCACGUGUUACUCACCCGUUCGCCACUAGGUCUUCAGGAGCAAGCUCCUUGGACCUCGUUCGACUUGCAUGUUUUAACGCACGUCCGCCAGCGUUCGUCCUGUACGCCGACGGAUACGUAAACCUCUACUGACGUAC